Pan troglodytes (chimpanzee) is the source of this 2082-nucleotide long non-coding RNA. RefSeq lists it as uncharacterized. The record is from RefSeq and is a predicted model, not a curated record. The transcript has 2 exons. NCBI's taxonomy places the organism in Eukaryota, Metazoa, Chordata, Mammalia, Primates, Hominidae.
GGAGCUUCCCGGGUGGGCGAGGGAAUGGGCGGAGGCAGUGGGAGAAGAAGGAGGAAGGCUGGAAGAAGCAUGGGGGCGGGACUAGGAGGUGCGUCUGGGCGCUGAGGAGCGGCGGGAACCCAGGUUCCAUGAUGGCAGGAAUCUUCUUUUCUACCAAGUUUUCCCCUCAGUUGAACAGACUAAUUGUUUAAUGGAAAAUGAAUAUAACUUUUUAAAACACACUGUCAAGAGGAUGAGAAGACAAGCUUCAGACUGGUAGAAAAUAUUUGCAAUAGAUAUAUGUGAUAAAGGACUAUUAACUAAAAUACAAAGAACUCUUAAAACUCAAUAAUAAGAAAACAAAUAACCUGAUUAAAAAAUGGCAAGAGACCUGAACAGAUACCUCACCAAAGAAGAUAUACAGAGGCAAGUAAGCAUAUGGAAAGGAGCUCAAUAUCAUAUGUCAUUAGAGAAAUGCAAAUUAAAACAACAAUGAUGAGAUUCUACCACACAGCUAUUGGAAUGGCCAAAAUCCAAAACACUGACAUCUCCAAAGGCUGACAAGGAUGUGGAACAACAGGAGCUCUCAUUCAUUGUUGGCGGGAAUGAAAAAUGGUACAGCUACUUUGGAAGAGAGUUUGGCAACUUCUUACAAAACUAAACCUACUGUUACCAUAUAAUCCAGCAAUCAUGUUCCUUGCUAUUUACUCAAAUGAGUUGAAACCUUAUGUCCACAUAAAAACCUGCACAUGAAUGUUUAUAGCAGCUUUAUUCACAAUUGCCAAAAAUUGGAAGCAAUCAAGAUGUCCUUCAGUAGCUGAAUAAAUAAACUGUAGGACGUCCAGAUAAGGGGAUGCUAAAAAGAAAUGCAAAAAAGUGCUACAAAGAAAUGAGCUAUCAAUCCAUGAAAAACAUGGGAAAAGCUUUAAAUGCAUAUUGCUAAGUGAAAGAAGUCAAUCUGAAAACCUGUAUCACAGGUCCAAUUCUGUGAUAUAAAGCAACACAUCACAAAGCGUUUUUACAGAUAGCUUGUUUCUAGUUUUUAGGGCUGGAUAUUCAUAUUUUCUUAUAAAAGGUCAAUAGGUUCGGAAACGUCACUUCUUAGAUUCUAAAAAAAGAGUGUUCCGAACUUGUUAAAUGCAAAUUCAACUACGAUUUCAACUAUGUGAUCUCUGGAAAAGGUAAAACUAUUGAGACAAUAAAAAGAUCAGUGGUUCCCAGGGUAAGGUUUGAUUUCAACUAUAUGAUCUCUAGAAAAGGUAAAACUAUUGAGACAGUAAAGAUCAGUGGUUACCAGGGGAAGGAGGGAUGAAUAGCAAAGCACUGAGAAUUUUAAGGCAAUGAAACUUCUGUAGGAUUCUACCAUGGUGGAUAUAUAUCAUUAUAUAUUUGUUCAAACCCAUAGCAUGUAAAACACCAAGACUGAACACUAAUGUAAGCUAUGGACUGUAUCAAUGUAGGUUCAUUGGUUGUAACAAAUAUACCACUCUGGUGUGGGAUGUUGACAGUGGGGGAGGCUGUACAUGGUGUUGGUGCAGGGGGCGUAUGGGAAUUCUAUGUACUUUCUGUUCAGUUUUGCUAUGAACCUAAAACACCUCUAGAAAGUAAACUCCCUUUUAAAAAAGAAAAAGAUAAUAUGUGUGGAGACCCUAGAGAAAAAAAAGGACCAUAAAUCUAGAAAAACUAGCCCACUACACUCUGAGACUAACCGUUUGUCAAAACAGCAAAUGUACACUUAAGAUUUGUACAUUUCAUUGUAGAUGUUAUAUGUAGAUGUUAUAUCAAAAGAAAACCUAUAAACAAAUACUGAAUUCUAGUUGUGAUAUGCAUGCUGAAAUAUUUACAGGGGAAGUGAACUCAUGUCUGCAAUUUAUUUGAAAUGCAUCAAAAGUGGAUGGAUUAAGAUAUAGAUAAAAGAAUAGAUGGAUGGAUGGAUGGAUGCAUGGUAGACAGACAGACAUAUGAUAAGGCCAGUUGAGUAUAUUGAAAAUAGAAGAAUCUGGGUGAUGAGUAUAUUGGUUGUUCACUGUAAAAUUCUUUCAACUUGCUGUAUGUCUGAAUUUUUUCAUAAUAAAAUGUUGGGAUAAACUAUAUUCAAAACAA